CGCCGCUGAAAUACAUGUAUCAGGGAGGUGUUUAUGUGAAAUGUGAAGGGAAUUACUUCAUUAUUUACUAUUUUAUUUAUUUGAGAUAUAGUGCUGAGAGGAAGAGGUUAUAUGCUGGAGUCUAGAAGACGCCACAUGACCGUUUUUGAUUCUAAAGAUGAAGUGAAAAAUUCCUGCUUAGAAAAGAUAGUUGUCUUCCAUGUGUACCAUUCUGCUUGAUUAUGGCUGAUCCUUUAUCAGGCAUUGCAAUUAUAAUAUGCAUCGCAUUUGGUGUUUUAACAAAUAAAAAGGUUUUCUCUGAAAUCAAAAUCUGGUCCUCAUACUCCCAUAGCUCAAGAUGCACCGAAG
Molecule: long non-coding RNA, 348 nt
Organism: Stegodyphus dumicola
Lineage: Eukaryota; Metazoa; Arthropoda; Arachnida; Araneae; Eresidae
Source: RefSeq, a predicted model, not a curated record